UCCACACUUCAAUUUCAGAGGUGAGAAAAUUAAGUAACUUGUUCAAGUAGAAUUGAUGCCCAAGAAGAUGCCCAAGUAGGGUUGGUGCCUAGGCCCUAUGGUUGCGGCUCAAUUCGUGCAACCUCAGUUACCAGGGGGUCCCGGGGCCAGCGCGGAAUUCGCGGAAUUCACCAAGCCGCAGCUGCCUGCCGCUGAAUGCGAAGAGGGCGCAGGAGACUGGCAGGUACAGCUGGUGGUCCCUUCGGCCUGAUUUCCCUGCUGAGUGCCACAGCGUCCGAGAUCCACGACUGGCCAGGUGGAGCCACCGACUCUGAAGAGAACCAGAGGCGGACCAGCCAGGGGAGAGGGCAACCCUGGGAGCACUGCACCCUUGUCGGUCCCCUGGAAAGCUAGCGGUAAGAUCCGGGAGGCUGAAUUUGAGGCCGCGGUAGUCCAGGCGACUUCCCCUGGAAGGUGUGACGAUGACUUGUACUGCAAAAGAAGCCUAGACCAGGCCUCCGUCUGGGUGUUUUCUUUUAGGCGUUUGGAGAGGGAUGGAGAUGGUGGGUGGGGGCGAGGGGGAGGGGUAAAAAGAGGAAAUUAAAAUCCUGGAAAAGUUUAGACGCAACAGUAAAGACCAGAAGAUGGAGGGGGACAAAGUAAAACUUCCGGAUUUGGGGCCAGAGCCCCUGUGACCCAGGGAUCACUCACACCUCCUUGAGUCUCACUUUCCCCAUCUCACAGACCUGCUGAGGGGGAGUGGGGCUUGGGAUGAGCUGCCGCCAAACACUUCCGUUUCCUCAUCUUUUGCAAAGGGAAUGCAUUUGCACUAAUACCUACCAUCCAAGGGUUGAAAGAAUGAAAUGAUACAAUCCUUAUGAAGGGCUCGAAACGGGGCCUGGCACGUAUGAUAAGAGCUCAAUAAAUGUUAGUUGCUGCUACUUUGCUGUUAUUUUUUCGUUUAUACAAAGAGGAUAAUAAUUAUAUAUGUCCUGAAUGGCAGAAAAGGGGAG
This 992-nucleotide long non-coding RNA is filed under the name Homo sapiens (human). Its description in RNAcentral is "HSALNT0107070". Lineage: Eukaryota; Metazoa; Chordata; Mammalia; Primates; Hominidae. The record is from RNAcentral.